Molecule: transfer RNA, 91 nt
Filed under: Pterulicium gracile
Lineage: Eukaryota; Fungi; Basidiomycota; Agaricomycetes; Agaricales; Pterulaceae
Description: Pterula gracilis tRNA
Rfam family: tRNA
About the family: Transfer RNA (tRNA) molecules are approximately 80 nucleotides in length.
Source: Rfam by way of RNAcentral
GGCGCCUUAGCAAAGUGGUUAAUGCGAUGGAUUUGAACUUUCAAUUAUCCAUUCCUCUAUGAGGGCGUAGGUUCGAACCCUGCAGGCGUCG